GGCCAGGGGGGGGGCUUGUCCCUUCCCGCCUUGCUGCUUCUCCCGGGGAAACGCCGGAGCCGCGAAGAGAAAAGUUGGAGAACUUGGGAUUGGGUCCCGGGGGCGGCGCGUGAAUCACCCGCCCCGCGCCGGAGCCUGGCGGUGAAUCAUCGAUGCCUGGCGCAAACAGCCGCAUGCCGCGCCGGGGGGAGCGCAGCUUUGUUGUUGUGGCCGCGGCGGCGCCCGCGCGACCCCGCCGGGCUUCCCGGAGCCGUGACGGGGCUGCUGCGCGCGGAAAGUUUUGCGAGGCGAGGCUGUUUGUUUUCCUGGCACGGUGGGAAGGGACGGGGCUGAGCGGGAAUCCCCCUCGCCUUCAUGAGCGGACCCUGCGGCUUUCUUGCUCAGAUGAGACCCCGAAGGAUGAGGAGAAGGCCUUGCUAUCUGGGCAUGAGGAUCUGAUAAAAGCUCCAGGUAGAAGAUAAGUUAAGGAAUUGGAAGAAACUUCAGUCUACUGCAAAGAAAACAGAAGGAUCAGGGAGCGGACUCUAGAGUAAAAGUGCUGCCUCUCCUCUGCUCCUGGCUUUCAAACAGCUGACUAACCUUGCCCAACUCAUCAUCAGAAGUGAAUUCCCUACUGCUCAACAGACAUCCAAGUGGGAUGCAGCCUUGCCUUAACAAUAGAUGCUUAUCAACACAUCUCCACUGCUGCUACAAUCAACUGCCCCAAAACGAACCCAUCAGAAUCCAUGGAUCCUACACAUGCCUUUCACAAAAUGUGGUAUGUUUGUUCCAGUACACCAGAUACCCUCAAGGUAACUACAUGGGCAAAACUGAACAGCAACCAUGAGCCAUAAUGAAAUCGCAUAAGAAAAAUGUAAAAUAUAUUGCCCUCCCCCCCACCCUUUAAAAAAAAAAAAAAAAGUCCUUCUCUCUCAGUUAAUUCCUGGACCACCAUGGCUACAACACUUUUUAUACUGUAUAGUACCUAUUUAACGGUACAAUGCAGCUGGAAUCAAAGUAUCCAACACAGUGCUCUUUUUUUUCUCUUAAUUGAACUAGAGAACAUUUCCGUGAUGCAUUUUAGUAAGUUAAAAAUGAAAUGCAGAAAAACUCUGUUCGACUUACAGCAGUGGCAUUCGCUGUUUUAAUUGGCAGGCACUACAAGAGUUACAUGAUUAGAAGCAGGUUUUAGUCUGAUUUAAGAUGCACAUUUUUAAGGAUGAAAGCCAGUGGUAAGUGGGUGCUAACCUCCCCAGGGCACCAUGAAAAUGCCACCCUAAAUCUUUUGUUUUUAAGACCAUUCAUUUAUUUUGUAAAGGUCUAGUAAUAUAGUUGCUAUUUUCAUAUUCGCUUUUGAAUCAUUAGUUUUUGUUACAGAACAUACUUGGCAAGAGUAGAGUUCUUGGAGAUUGUUUCUUCCUGAGUUUACUAGAAUUUUAAAAUUUAUUGGGAUAAAGCCUAGUAAUAGGUUUUGUUUUUAAUUUGUAGUAUAACUUCAUUGCAUAGGUAUAGCUGCAAAGUUAUUUGGCAUGUGCAGUAUAAAUUUGAAUGUUAUUCUUGCUUCAGCUUUCAACUGUGGGAAGCAAAACCUUUGCUACUAAUAAUUUUAGUGUGAAUUAGUAAUUUUUUUCCAUACUUUUUCUUUCCUGCUCCUUCCAGAGAUUGAAAGGUGGCAUCAUCAUCUUGUAAAACUAUGUAAAGGCUUCAUAUUAUUGUACAACCUUUUUUGGACAAUGUGUUAAGAAAAGCAUCUUAAGUAGUUCAGCAAAGAAAGUCUGAAACAGUAGCUUGCAACAUACAACAUAACAUUGAGAAGACAUUUCAGGAUUAACUGAAUGUGACGGUCAUUAAAUUGUAUUACAUAAUCCUUAUAAGGUAAUGUGCAAAAGUGAUCAUUUUGUUGAGAAUCAAUUGGAAAACUAAGAAUAUUAACAGAGAGCUUGACCUCCCUCUCUAGUGAAGUAAUAGCUACAGUGAAUUGGCCAAGGGUACAGUUUCACAAAUUAAUCCUAGAAAUGAAAAAUGAAAGAAAACCUUGGUCUUGUACAUGCAGGUGACAGCCACGUUUAGGCUGGCAUUUUAAUGUCUGCUGAACUUCCUUGAAAAAUGGCACCAACUGCCACUGGCUGAUGCUUUGUGAGAGUGUGCAGUAGCAGCUGGGAGAUUUGAUGUAGCAUUAACUCCUGAUCAGAUUUUCAUUUGGAAAUCCAUGAAAUAAGCCUGGUUAGAAGGAGUUGAAUUGGCUGAGGCAUGCAAUGAAGUGAAUCUGAUGGCAGUGCAGAAAAUUAGUUGGUGCAGGAGAUAAUUCAGUAUUGGCAGUGACAGCAGAGUUGGUCAGCAGAUGCUUGUCACCAGCUCAAGGCAGUCGGUAAAAGGUAGGUGAAAUGAGUAGUUGACCAUAAAGUAGCAUAAAAGAGGAAAAUUCAAGACUUUUACUGUUUGUGUGGAGUAGCUAGACCAGGGGUGGCCAACCUGUGGCUCUUCAGAAGUUCAUAUGCAUCUCCUUGAAUCUUUGCACAAGCACAAGGGAGAGGGAGGAGCAAAGAUUCAAGGAGAUGCAUAUUAACUUCUGAAGAGCUGCAUGUGGCUCCAGAGCCAUCCCUGAGCUAGACCAUCUGUGCCAGGAGUGACCAACCUCCAGCACAGGUACAACAAGUAGCACACAGCAGAUCAAGGAGGGGACAGGAAGCACAAGGGCAGAUACAGCAUCUGGCAUCUGACCCCUUCCUGCAAGUGCACACAGCGGCAGUGAGCUGGCCCCAGCCUCCCCUGGAUGAGCCACCUGUGUCUCUGUCCUGCUCCCCAGCCAGGCCCCACAGCCGCACAUUCUCACCCUGGCCCCAGGCACUGCGCAUAACCACAGCUGGGCAGCACCCCCAGCCACCAACCCUGCCCCACUCCCUCCCGUGCUGUGAGGGCUUGGUGUAAGCUGCUACCUCACUCUCCCUACAAGUCACCUCCAUGUCACCUAUGCCCCCCACCUCACUUCCAUGCAUUGCCUAUGCCCCCUUCUAGAUUUACCUGCAGGCAGCUGUGGGAGCUGCUCUCCACCAUGCUGUCUGAGGCUGUAUUGAUGGCCAAGUGCAUGUGUGUGCACACACGUACACAUGGUGCUUCCCUGUCUCUGAUCACCUUCUUCCUGCUCCCCUCAGCCCCUAGCAGCUCCUUGCAGGCUGGAACUCUGCCACUCUGCAAGGGGAAACCCAUGGUUCCCCGUGUUUUUCUCCUUUGCAGGGGAAAAUCUGUGUUUUUCUACAGCAAACAGAAAACCUGGAUCUCUGUUGAUGAGUCAUUAGGCCCCUUGCUCUUUUCCUCUUAGGCUGUGCCAUGGUACUAGUCUCCCUUGCCCCUCGUCUGCCAUCCCCUUCACUCACCUCCCCUCCUCCUUGCUCCUUCCUUCCUCUUCCCUCCCCUGCUG
This is a long non-coding RNA of Alligator sinensis (Chinese alligator), 3397 nucleotides long. RefSeq lists it as uncharacterized. NCBI's taxonomy places the organism in Eukaryota, Metazoa, Chordata, Crocodylia, Alligatoridae. The record is from RefSeq and is a predicted model, not a curated record. The transcript is spliced from 3 exons.